GGAGCAGCAACGAUGUUACGCAGCAGGGCAGUCGCCCUAAAACAAAGUUAUGCCGCACCCACCCCUA
RNAcentral lists this small RNA (67 nucleotides) under Klebsiella pneumoniae. Its description in RNAcentral is "AAC_AAD_leader". It matches the Rfam family "putative aminoglycoside riboswitch / attI site". From Rfam's summary of the family: Conserved RNA structure found upstream of the bacterial aminoglycosides antibiotic-resistant genes: aminoglycoside acetyl transferase (AAC) and aminoglycoside adenyl transferase (AAD). It has putative short open reading frame (ORF) that encode leader peptide upstream of the resistance gene. The record is from RNAcentral. Lineage: Bacteria; Pseudomonadati; Pseudomonadota; Gammaproteobacteria; Enterobacterales; Enterobacteriaceae.